AGUGAACGCUGGCGGUAGGCCUAACACAUGCAAGUCGAACGGCAGCACAGUAAGAGCUUGCUCUUACGGGUGGCGAGUGGCGGACGGGUGAGGAAUACAUCGGAAUCUACUUUUUCGUGGGGGAUAACGUAGGGAAACUUACGCUAAUACCGCAUACGACAUACGGGUGAAAGCAGGGGAUCUUCGGACCUUGCGCGAUUGAAUGAGCCGAUGUCGGAUUAGCUAGUUGGCGGGAUAAAGGCCCACCAAGGCGACGAUCCGUAGCUGGUCUGAGAGGAUGAUCAGCCACACUGGAACUGAGACACGGUCCAGACUCCUACGGGAGGCAGCAGUGGGGAAUAUUGGACAAUGGGCGCAAGCCUGAUCCAGCCAUACCGCGUGGGUGAAGAAGGCCUUCGGGUUGUAAAGCCCUUUUGUUGGGAAAGAAAAGCAGCAGGUUAAUACCCCGCUGUUCUGACGGUACCCAAAGAAUAAGCACCGGCUAACUUCGUG
This 492-nucleotide ribosomal RNA is filed under the name uncultured bacterium. Its description in RNAcentral is "partial 16S ribosomal RNA". It matches the Rfam family "Bacterial small subunit ribosomal RNA", at positions 29 to 507 of the family's 1533-position model. The record is from RNAcentral.